Molecule: long non-coding RNA, 102 nt
Organism: Etheostoma cragini (Arkansas darter)
Lineage: Eukaryota; Metazoa; Chordata; Actinopteri; Perciformes; Percidae
Exons: 5
Source: RefSeq, a predicted model, not a curated record
CCACCAGGUCCCAUAUCCAGGUCUCAGGGAAGAAAGUGCGGACUGUCUCUAUUGGUGGUUUAUCAGGAGAUGGCCCUUUCUAAAGCCACAGGAAAUCCAACA